UGGAAGGCAGCGAGGAGCGGGCCGAGUACGCCAGCCGGGAGGGGGAAACGACCCUUCCUCGCUUGGGCUCUGGGGCUGGAGCAUGACCGUGAAACCGAAUAUCCCUGCAGUGCAGCCAAAGGUCCUGGGCUCCCUGGGAAUCGCAGGAAACAGCUGGGGAGCGGCUGCCGGCUGCUCCACGCGCUGCUGUGGUUGUUUGCCAAAGUCUCCCUUUGCCCCCGAGCACCUUGCUCUGUCUUAGCCUCUUUCCGCUCCGCUGGCUGAGGGAAGCGUAUUGAGUCUCCGGCCUGCAUCUCCAUGGAGGGCAGGGGGCCCCCAACGUCAUUGGGCAGCCAUAAGGAAGGGACAGGUGGGGAAACUGAGGCAUGGUGAUGCGGCGAAACCAGGCCAAGGCUAUUCAAGCACUGGCACGGGACGUAGGCGCGGGAAGGCGUGAGAGAGCCAGGCAUGGAACCAGCCAGUUGCACCCCCCCAGAGACCUCUGCACCGAGGGGUUUAAGUUUGAACAAAGUAACACAGGGCAGGGAGGGGGGCAUGGGCACCACACGCAGCCCCUGAACAAGAGCAGGGCUGACUGGGCUCAAAGCAGCCCCCUGCAUGGAAAUCCCAGAGGAGAGAGGAGAGCUUGGUCAUCACCAUAGAGCUGCUGUCUGGUCUCCUCUCACUGUACAUGUGUGACGAAGUGGGGGAUUUUCUUGUUUUUUCCUUGUUUUCGGUGGGGUUUCAAUGGUUUGCAUGCGGAGGGGGUGGGACUCAGUUUCCCUGGGUAUUACUGGUUUAACGAGGUGAGGGGAGAGGGAGUGUGUUUUGCAGAGGACCGGAGAGGGAACUUGGGACCCCAGCCAAUGGCCUGGAGGAUGGACACCCCAGCGACCAGUGACCUGAGACCCCGACCCGGAGGCCCAGCUGAGGAGACGCAGCUGGUUCUGGCCAGUGGGUGGACAAUGGGCUGCAGAGUGAGGACCCAGUGACCUAACCAGCCGGUUCCAGCCAGAGGACAGAAGCGAGGAGAGGAGGCCCCGCUUUACGACCCUGUUUACCUGGAGAGAAGACAAUGGACAGAGGCAGGGCCUGGGGCUGGUGAUCUCAGAGGCCCAGGUGGGAGCAGGGGGGCUCUGGGCUGGAGAGGGGGAGCAGGCAGAGCCCACCUGGAUGCAGAGAGACUGGGAUGUGCUGGGCUGGGGAGGCCAGGCCUGAGAGUUUCCUGUGCUGUGUUCAACUCUCAAUAAAUCCUCCUGUUUUAUGCUG
Malaclemys terrapin pileata is the source of this 1248-nucleotide long non-coding RNA. RefSeq lists it as uncharacterized. The record is from RefSeq and is a predicted model, not a curated record. The transcript is spliced from 3 exons. NCBI's taxonomy places the organism in Eukaryota, Metazoa, Chordata, Testudines, Emydidae.